This 37-nucleotide ribosomal RNA is filed under the name Penicillium sp. RSPG_99. Its description in RNAcentral is "partial 18S ribosomal RNA". The record is from RNAcentral. Lineage: Eukaryota; Fungi; Ascomycota; Eurotiomycetes; Eurotiales; Aspergillaceae.
CAAGGUUUCCGUGGGUGAACCUGCGGAAGGAUCAUUA